GAUGAACGCUGGCGGCGUGCCUAAUACAUGCAAGUCGAGCGAACGGACGAGAAGCUUGCUUCUCUGAUGUUAGCGGCGGACGGGUGAGUAACACGUGGAUAACCUACCUAUAAGACUGGGAUAACUUCGGGAAACCGGAGCUAAUACCGGAUAAUAUUUUGAACCGCAUGGUUCAAAAGUGAGAGACGGUCUUGCUGUCACUUAUAGAUGGAUCCGCGCUGCAUUAGCUAGUUGGUAAGGUAACGGCUUACCAAGGCAACGAUGCAUAGCCGACCUGAGAGGGUGAUCGGCCACACUGGAACUGAGACACGGUCCAGACUCCUACGGGAGGCAGCAGUAGGGAAUCUUCCGCAAUGGGCGAAAGCCUGACGGAGCAACGCCGCGUGAGUGAUGAAGGUCUUCGGAUCGUAAAACUCUGUUAUUAGGGAAGAACAUAUGUGUAAGUAACUGUGCACAUCUUGACGGUACCUAAUCAGAAAGCCACGGCUAACUACGU
This 496-nucleotide ribosomal RNA is filed under the name uncultured bacterium. Its description in RNAcentral is "partial 16S ribosomal RNA". It matches the Rfam family "Bacterial small subunit ribosomal RNA", at positions 28 to 506 of the family's 1533-position model. The record is from RNAcentral.